AUUGAACGCUGGCGGCAGGCCUAACACAUGCAAGUCGAGCGGAGCGGCGGACGGGUGAGUAAUGCCUAGGAAUCUGCCUGGUAGUGGGGGAUAACGUCCGGAACCGGGCGCUAAUACCGCAUACUAUCAGAUGAGCCUAGGUCGGAUUAGCUAGGUGGUGGGGUAAAGGCCUACCAAGGCGACGAUCCGUAACUGUGCUGAGGGGAUGGUCAGUCAAACUGCAACUGAGACACGGUCCGGACUCCUCCGGGAGGCAGCAGAGGAGAAUAUUGGACAAUGGGCGAAAGCCUGAUCCAGCCAUGCCGCGUGUGUGAAGAAGGUCUUGUGAUUGUAAAGCACUUUAAGUUGGGAGGCGGUACCAUAAGAAUAAGCACCGGCUAACUCCGUGCCAGCAGCCGCGGUAAUUC
This 407-nucleotide ribosomal RNA is filed under the name uncultured bacterium. Its description in RNAcentral is "partial 16S ribosomal RNA". It matches the Rfam family "Bacterial small subunit ribosomal RNA", at positions 30 to 526 of the family's 1533-position model. The record is from RNAcentral.